AUGAUCCAUCCAAAGAAACUUGCUCAGCUGGCCAAGAAGUGUCAGCGGAUGUUGGUUGCCAGAGCCGGGGCCCGCCGCCGGCAUCAUGCCUCGGACACAGCCGACGAUGAAUGCUGCAUCACAACGUCGUCUGUGGUUGCCGAUGAGGGCCACUGCGUGGUGUAUGCCGCCGACGGAGCACGGUUUGAGGUCCCUCUGGUGUACCUUGGGACGACGGUCUUCGCCGAGCUCCUGAGGAUGUCCGAAGAGGAGUUUGGCUUUGCAAGCGGUAGCGAUGGAGGCAGGAUCACGCUGCCCUGCGAUGCCACGGUGAUGGAGUACGUCUUGUGCCUGGUCAGGAGAGAGGCCUCUGAGGAGGUCGAGAGGGCGUUCUUGAGCUCCAUUGCUGAGCAUGGCCACAACUACAGUGCUAGCUGUGUGGCGCCAUCGAUGGGACUAGUACUCAGCCAUCAAUUUGCUCUCUGUGCUUAG
Molecule: ribosomal RNA, 471 nt
Filed under: Triticum aestivum (bread wheat)
Lineage: Eukaryota; Viridiplantae; Streptophyta; Magnoliopsida; Poales; Poaceae
Description: partial small subunit ribosomal RNA
Source: RNAcentral